This 254-nucleotide ribosomal RNA is filed under the name uncultured bacterium. RNAcentral describes it as "partial 16S ribosomal RNA". It matches the Rfam family "Bacterial small subunit ribosomal RNA", at positions 524 to 776 of the family's 1533-position model. The record is from RNAcentral.
UACGAGGGGGGCGAGCGUUGUUCGGAAUUAUUGGGCGUAAAGGGUGCGUAGGCGGUUUGUCGCGUCGACUGUGAAAUCCCGAGGCUCAACUUCGGGCUUGCAGUCGAUACGGGCAGGCUAGAGUUCGGGUAGGGGAGACUGGAAUUCCUGGUGUAGCGGUGAAAUGCGCAGAUAUCAGGAGGAACACCGAUGGCGAAGGCAGGUCUCUGGGCCGAUACUGACGCUGAGGAGCGAAAGCGUGGGGAGCGAACAGG